Long non-coding RNA from Bolinopsis microptera, 742 nucleotides. RefSeq lists it as uncharacterized. The record is from RefSeq and is a predicted model, not a curated record. The transcript has 3 exons. NCBI's taxonomy places the organism in Eukaryota, Metazoa, Ctenophora, Tentaculata, Lobata, Bolinopsidae.
AGCAUGGACCCUCUUGCGAUCAGUAACAACUUGAAACAUCUGUCCCAGCAUUCCGCCUCGGCUCUCGCUUCUGUAACCGAGGCCAGCAACAAUGGAAAUAGUGUGAAAGAGCGGUUCUCUUCAAUAGAAACACAGCUGAACAGUGUAAGGAAGAUGGUUAUUGACGGGGGUAUGGGACCUCUUUCCUGUAGUUCUGACCAGAUAAAGUUCCAAGUUGAAGAAUUAAAGCUACAGAACACAAGAUUAGAAACGAAUAGUCUGGCUGCUUUUAACAGAAUGAAGGAAGCUUUAAAUAUGCGUCAUUGAAUAUUACAUGUUCUAGGGCAAGAGUGCCUUUGCAUAGGUAUUAUAACAAACAGUGUUCAUCAAUUAAUGUGAAAUGGUUGACGAGUUCGUGCAGUGGAAUCAAGAACAAAGAAUAAGAUUGCAUACACAGACUUAGGCGAUGAAUGCAAUAUUAUUGGGACAUUUCUUGUUCGUUUCACUGGGUUAUCAAUUAUAAUUAAUAUUUCCAUAUUGUAGAUAAAAUCCUUGACAAGUCAUCUUUAUCGUGUUUAAGCUCUAAUAGUGUUUAAGCUGUAAUAGUCCUCUAAAAGACCAUUCGCAUUCCUGACAUUGUUAUUAGACUGCUUCAAAAAUUGAAUUGUAAGUUUGAAAUUGAUCGCUUUAUUGAUAGCAGUUUCUUUAAGUCUUUAUUCUCUCUGUGUAACAUGUGCAUUUCUUUCAACAAACUGUUCGAAUU